CAGCCAUUCGGUCAGAUGGGUCCAUCUGUUGUUAUCACUCCAUCCCCAUUUUCACCUGGAGGACAUUUUCGUAAAAGUUUUGUGAAAAAUCGACAUUCCAGAAAAUCUCAAGUUGAAAUGAAAGUAGCUGAAGAAGAUUCUUCAACACCCGAUGAACAAUCAGAUGAUGCUGCAUCAUCUGCAGAUAUCAAAGAUCAGCAUGAUUAUAAUGAAAUUUUUCAUCCUAGGAGAGAAUGUAAAUAAUUUUAAAUUCUAUCAAACAAAUUAUAAAUAAGCAAACUUUUUUGUUAAUAUUGCUACUUUUAUCCUCA
RNAcentral lists this long non-coding RNA (311 nucleotides) under Androctonus crassicauda. Lineage: Eukaryota; Metazoa; Arthropoda; Arachnida; Scorpiones; Buthidae. The record is from RNAcentral.